Molecule: long non-coding RNA, 231 nt
Organism: Drosophila arizonae
Lineage: Eukaryota; Metazoa; Arthropoda; Insecta; Diptera; Drosophilidae
Gene: Sply
Source: RefSeq, a predicted model, not a curated record
GUAACAUUUUCAACURCAAAACAAACAAAUGCCAUAAGUUAAAGUAAUUUGCAUUUAAUUUUAGUAAUUYCACCAAUCACAAAUCUUAMWWACCUGCCAGWKCGACAGCUGUGCUUCAUUUGGCAAGAAAAUGCGUCCUUUCAAUGCCGGCGAUUGCCUGAAGCCAGUCGGGAGCUCCAUCAACCGCGCCUUCGGCAACAAAGAGCCCUGGCAGAUCGCAGCGAUUACGGC